AUUGAACACUGGCGGCAUGCCUUACACAUGCAAGUCGAACGGCAGCACGGAGCUUGCUCUGGUGGCGAGUGGCGAACGGGUGAGUAAUAUAUCGGAACGUACCCAAGAGUGGGGGAUAACGUAGCGAAAGUUACGCUAAUACCGCAUACGAUCUAAGGAUGAAAGUGGGGGCUCGCAAGACCUCAUGCUCCUGGAGCGGCCGAUAUCUGAUUAGCUAGUUGGUGAGGUAAAGGCUCACCAAGGCAUCGAUCAGUAGCUGGUCUGAGAGGACGACCAGCCACGCUGGAACUGAGACACGGUCCAGACUCCUACGGGAGGCAGCAGUGGGGAAUUUUGGACAAUGGGGGCAACCCUGAUCCAGCAAUGCCGCGUGAGUGAAGAAGGCCUUCGGGUUGUAAAGCUCUUUUGUCAGGGAAGAAACGGUGAAGGCUAAUAUCCUUUGCUAAUGACGGUACCUGAAGAAUAAGCACCGGCUAACUACGUGCCAGCAGCCGCCGUAA
RNAcentral lists this ribosomal RNA (500 nucleotides) under uncultured bacterium. RNAcentral's name for it is "partial 16S ribosomal RNA". It matches the Rfam family "Bacterial small subunit ribosomal RNA", at positions 30 to 523 of the family's 1533-position model. The record is from RNAcentral.